AUUGAACGCUGGCGGCAUGCUUUACACAUGCAAGUCGGACGGCAGCACAGAGAAGCUUGCUUCUUGGGUGGCGAGUGGCGAACGGGUGAGUAAUAUAUCGGAACGUACCGAGUAAUGGGGGAUAACUAAUCGAAAGAUUAGCUAAUACCGCAUAUUCUCUGAGGAGGAAAGCAGGGGACCUUCGGGCCUUGCGUUAUUCGAGCGGCCGAUAUCUGAUUAGCUAGUUGGUGGGGUAAAGGCCUACCAAGGCGACGAUCUGUAGCGGGUCUGAGAGGAUGAUCCGCCACACUGGGACUGAGACACGGCCCAGACUCCUACGGGAGGCAGCAGUGGGGAAUUUUGGACAAUGGGCGCAAGCCUGAUCCAGCCAUGCCGCGUGUCUGAAGAAGGCCUUCGGGUUGUAAAGGACUUUUGUCAGGGAAGAAAAGGCUGUUGCUAAUAUCAAGAGCUGAUGACGGUACCUGAAGAAUAAGCACCGGCUAACUACGUG
This 490-nucleotide ribosomal RNA is filed under the name uncultured bacterium. RNAcentral's name for it is "partial 16S ribosomal RNA". It matches the Rfam family "Bacterial small subunit ribosomal RNA", at positions 30 to 507 of the family's 1533-position model. The record is from RNAcentral.